ACAACAGAAGACACAGAAAUCCUCCUCCUCCUCCUCCUGAUCGGAAACAUGACUGUGAUCUGCGUCCUCAUCUGGACUCUCCUCUGCUGCUGCUUCACAGGUAAAGUCCAGAGAAUCCAACUCCUCUCCUCUGUGAACAUCUGUCCCUCUGAAAUGAAGCCCACAAAACCAUGACGCUGCUUUCUGUGUUUGUCUCUGUAUCCUCAGAGUCCAGAGGACAGUACACACUGACUCAGCCUGCAGCAGUGACCUCUGCUCCAGGAGAAGACGCAAGAAUCAGCUGUGGUGUCAGUCAGAAUGUGAAUGGCAAUAACUAUCUGCACUGGUACCAACAGAAGGACGGAGAAACUCAUAAACUGCUCAUUUAUCUUGCUAGCACUCGACAAUAAGGGAUAUCAAGUCGUUUUUCAGGCAGUGGAUCUGGAUCUAGUUUCACUCUGACCAUCAGUGGAGUCCAGACUGAAGAUGCAGCAGUUUACUACUGUCAGAGUGAACACUGGAUUAACAGUCA
Molecule: long non-coding RNA, 511 nt
Filed under: Xyrichtys novacula (pearly razorfish)
Lineage: Eukaryota; Metazoa; Chordata; Actinopteri; Labriformes; Labridae
Source: RNAcentral